AAACUUUCAACAACGGAUCUCUUGGUUCUGGCAUCGAUGAAGAACGCAGCGAAAUGCGAUAAGUAAUGUGAAUUGCAGAAUUCAGUGAAUCAUCGAAUCUUUGAACGCACACUGCGCCCCCUGGUAUUCCGGGGGGCAUGCCUGUCCGAGCGUCAUUG
RNAcentral lists this ribosomal RNA (158 nucleotides) under Bacidia suffusa. Its description in RNAcentral is "5.8S ribosomal RNA". It matches the Rfam family "5.8S ribosomal RNA". From Rfam's summary of the family: 5.8S ribosomal RNA (5.8S rRNA) is a component of the large subunit of the eukaryotic ribosome. It is transcribed by RNA polymerase I as part of the 45S precursor that also contains 18S and 28S rRNA. The record is from RNAcentral. Lineage: Eukaryota; Fungi; Ascomycota; Lecanoromycetes; Lecanorales; Ramalinaceae.